RNAcentral lists this transfer RNA (67 nucleotides) under Marmota monax (woodchuck). It matches the Rfam family "tRNA". Rfam says of the family: Transfer RNA (tRNA) molecules are approximately 80 nucleotides in length. The record is from Rfam by way of RNAcentral. Lineage: Eukaryota; Metazoa; Chordata; Mammalia; Rodentia; Sciuridae.
GGUUGUGGCUCUGUGGCAGAGUGCUUGCCUAGCAUGCAGGAGGCCCUGGGUUCGAUCCUCAGAACCA